CUGCUUUAUGGAAAGAGUCACCAUGACCACUCCACUACUGAUGUUUGUACUUCUGGCUCUACCCUGCUACAGCGCAACUGGGCAAAUCAAUCGUUUUGGACUUCCAGUCUCUGCCCAUAGCAGGGAUUUCUAUGUCAGGUCUCCCGGAGAUAACUUCUGCGGCAAGGUGAAAUUUGUCAUUUCAGGGUUCACCUGCUGUGAAAGACAAUUGCAUAUGGGGGCUGAGCAGUCCUGCUGUGGAAACAGGUCCUUCUACCUCACCCAGGCUUCCUGUUGUGGUGGUCAGCUGACUCUGAAUGUGAGCCAGCUGGUGUCAGAUUGCUGUGGUUCUAGGGCCUAUGAUCCACUCAACCAGCUGUGCUGUGACUCUCAGAUCCUAAUCAGGACCCAACCCCAUUCCAAGUGUUGUGGAAAAGAGCUUUACAAUGAAGACAACCAGCUUUGCUGUGGAGAUGUCGUUAAAAGAAAGGUCCUGACCAAAAUGUCUGGUCACCACCGGUGCUGUGGAGACCACCAGUUUGACCAGCGAAGCCACUGCUGCUGCCACAUCACUGAACCAUCAUAUCAACUAAACCCUAAACCUCUCAAUGCAAGCUGCUGUGCUCCUGCCAUCCAGGAAGUGCUACAUACUAUUCCCCCAGCGCAAACUGGUCAGCACAUGGGAAUUGAUCAGAGUUCUCCAAAAUGUAUGCCUGGGGAGAAGCCUUGUGGUCAAUGUGCCUGCUUUAACCCAACAACAGAACGUUGCUGUGUGAACCCUACAUCUCUCCAGGGACAAAGUUACUCACAUGACCAGACCUGCUGUGAGGGAACACUCUGCCACACCCCAGAUAAGACAGCACAAGGUCACUACCAUGGUGCUAGCUUUGGCUCUCAGGUUUACAAUCCAGACAUCAACAUCUGCUGUUCCGGGAAGCUGUCCAAUAGGGUGCCUGGAAAGAACCUGUGCUGCGGUACAACUCCGUAUGGUGUAGAGGACCGAGGGGUGCUGUGCUGUAACCAGACCUUGCACCGUGUGGUGGAGGAUGGGUACCAGUGCUCCCCAGGUGGCUACUUGUAUCUGCCAUCCCGUGACAUGGUGUGUGGUUCACACGUUCAUCUCAACGAUCCAGGCAAACACUGCUGUGGAGAGGACACAUACGACCCUCAGUAUGAAAUCUGCUGCAACGGACACAAACACAACAGGUUGAGAAAUGUUUCCUGCUGCGGAGGGAAGGCCUAUUACCACAGCAGUGACCAGAUGAAGUGCUGUGCAGAGACUCUGUACAACCUGCAGGUUCAGGACAGACUCUCAGAGGAGGCCCAGUGCUGUGGGAGUGUCCUGAUGGAGAGUGUGUCCAUGAAGACGAAUGAGCGGUCCAUCGUGAUGGUGAACGCCAUGUACAUGCUGGCCUCGCGUGGCCAUGUCAACCCCCUGCCUUCCCCUCACUACGUCACAUUACCCGACCACUGCAGCUCCCCUGUAGUGGAGCCGGGCAACACUUACAUCUUGAUGAAAAUACCUUUCUCAGACACCAUAAGAUUCAUCUCUGAUCUCAGCGAUCAUUCCUCCCCUGUCCAUUCCAUCCUUUCCAGGUGCUGAACCUUUUUCUUGCCCAGAGUAAAGCCCUACAUAACGUUUGAAAGCUUUACAGUGUUUGUUUACAGUUACAUUGUUAACAAUCAAUGGCGUAAUAAAAAGCUUAUCUUGGGUUCUGAUGGGGUUCGACAGUUGAACUAAGAUCAUAAGGCACAAGUUAUAUUCUUCCAGAGUCAAUUGGUAUAUAUCGUUCAUUUAAAAGUCAAAAAAUUGCUGUUGCUAUCACAGAUUGCCUCUUUAAGCUAUCAGUAGACAUUUAAACCAUGUUUGUGAAGUGAUUGUAUCACAUUGUGCAAGGACAGGAUAAAAAGCCUAUUUUAACCAAGCAUUUGUGUGUAGGUGUAUGACUUCACCAUUCAUCAAUUCAUGUGGUUGUGUGGGGGUUUGUGGUUUUGUGGUUGCCUUUAUCCCAUCCACAUAUAUGUACCACAUUAUCUGACACUUGAUCACAGGAUCACAUUUUUGUUUUAUUAUUUCACUGCCAAUCUGUGUUUGAUCUUGUCUAGCCAUCUUGUAUCAAGAGGACCACAAAAGUCCUAGACUUUAUUGUGUGUUAUCCUCCAUGAUUAUAUUCAUGUGCAUCUAUGACUUUUAAGUUUUAUGUGUGCUUGUUUUUUUAAAUGGUCGAAUUAAUAAACUAAACUAAAUAAAGGGCACCUAGGGCACUGAGUCUUUGGCUGCGUUUAUGAGCAAAGUGAAAUUAUGAAUAAAAUAUUGUAAAACUGAUAUAUACUGAACAGAAAUAUAAACACAACAUGUAAAGUGUUGGUCCCAUGCCUUAUGAGCUGAAAUAAAAAAUCCCAGAAAUGUU
Molecule: long non-coding RNA, 2390 nt
Filed under: Salmo salar (Atlantic salmon)
Lineage: Eukaryota; Metazoa; Chordata; Actinopteri; Salmoniformes; Salmonidae
Description: lncRNA (ENSSSAG00000108981.1, ENSSSAG00020073594.1)
Source: RNAcentral